UAGCGCCGUGCCAACACGAAGGAUUACUUACGGAAAAGAUGGGCCGCGGGUACAGUGCCAGCCGUAGCAAGAGCGGCCGUCCGACGCUGCGGAUGAAGCGCUCCCGUUCCAUGUCGCUGCACGCGCUGAAGAAGAACAUGGACGCGCACGAGGCGGCCAAGGCGGCCAACGGCGGCAGCGCCGAGGCGUCGUCGUUGUCCUCUGCCGCGACGACCGAGGUGCCGCGCAAGACGCUCAAGGUGGUGCGCCAGCAUCGCGCGCCGUCUUCGUUGCUUUCAUCGUCGUCGCCAGCAACAGCGAGCUCUACCCCCGCCGCUGCGAAGGUGACGAUGAAAGGGGCGGCAACGAAGGUCAAGUCCGCCGACGGCCGCGGUCGCACCGCAACAUCUAGCCCCGGCCCUCGUUCGCAGUCCGCCGCCUUUCGCCGCAAUCUGGAAGACCUCGAAAGGCAGUUCGACGCCGCCAUGGAGGCCAGCGAGGACGAAGAUGAGACCGUCAUGAACACCACGACCAUGACCAAGUACAAGGAGUGCGGCCGCGUUGUCGACGCUGUGCUGGAUCAGCUCGCGGCGGCGUGCGUACCCGGCGCGAACACAAAGGUACUGUGCGACACAGGUGACGAGGAAAUCGCGAGUCGGCUGAAGGGACUGUUCGUGAAGACCAAGGGUGCGGAUGGAAAGCGGCUGGCGCGCGGCAUCUCGUACCCGACGAACGUGUCCGUGAACGAAAUGCUGUGCAACGACAGCCCGUACCGCGUGGAGGACGGCGCCAUCUUGAAGGACGGCGACGUCGUGAAGCUGCACGUGGGCUGCCACCUCGACGGCUACCCAGUGAGCGCCGCACGCACGGUCGUCGUCACCACGAGAGCGGCUUCCGCGGUUACGGAGGGCGACGAGGAGGAGGCGCAGAGAAGGAGGAGCAGCACAGCGGCGACGUUGUCGUCGCGCUCAGCCGUUGGCAACACCAUUGAGGCGGCUCGCGUGGCGUUGCUGGCGAUGAUGCACGCGCUGCGCCCUGGCACACUCAACGCCGACAUCACGGACGUCAUCGCCGCCGUCGGGCAACACUACGGCGUGCAGGCUGUGGAGGGCGUGCUGUCGAACCGGAGCAAGCGCUGGGUGCCGGAUGGGAUCGACUGUAUCAUUGCCCGCCGCGUGACGAGCGAGGACCCGCAUCAGGACGUGGCCGACUGCGAGGUGGGCGAGCAUCAGGUGUGGUGCCUCGACGUCGCCUUCACUAACAACCACAACUACCGCAUCACGCUCUCUGAGAAGCCCGUGACACUGUUUCGUCGCACCCCUGCCGACUUCAACGCGGACGCGCGGGUGACGCAGGCGAACGAGACGCUGCAGGAGAUCACUGACACACAUUUCUGCUUUCCUUUCCACUUCAAGAGCCUCGCGAACCCGCUAAAGGGGAAGCUUGGCAUCCACGUGUUGGAGAAGAAGGGCAUGGUGGACAAGCUGCCCCCGCUGCGCACGAAGCACGGCUACGUGACGGCGCGGUUUAGUGCAACUGUGGCGGUGACGGCGAAGCGGGUGACGGUGCUGUGCGGCGCGCCGCCCACCGCCCCUGUGGCGACGCCGCCAGCAAUGCGGCCAACCGUGUCGGAGGACACAUUGGCGGCCGAGGUGCUUGCGUUGCUGAGACGCCCGUACGAGUUCGCCGAUGUGCGCGCGGCAGUGACGGCGAAAGGCGCGAGGGACCAGAGCAGCCCCUCCGCGAAACGCAUGCGCGUAGAGGCGCUGGAGAACGAAGAGUAGGGCGGAGGAGAAGAGUGGGGAGGGGAGUGCCAGGGGGAUCGGGUCAGGGCUGCGCGACAUGAUCGACCCUGCUGGCCGCCUCUUCGCGCCUCUCUUUUUCCCAUACUCGGCGUUGUUGGAAGCGAUUUUCUGCUUGCUGUGAUGUGUGCAAGAGAUUGUGUAUGUGCGUGUAUGUGAGAGCAGUCGACCGUGUGGGGCUGCCAGUCGUGGAAUAGCUAAGGACGUAAGGAUAAGCGUAACGUGUAACGGUGCACACACUCACCAACAGCUGCACCGCCACGGCGUGAUGAGACGACUUGCGUGAGGAGAGCGAGUGAGCGAGAGGGUGGGGGGGAAAGAAGUGGGGGGGGGAGAGGGCGACAGAGGUGUGCGCAUCGGUAUCCGUGUGGAUGGCGCGAUGACCAUUGUCGGCCUCCCUGCUGCUCUCAUCGACUUCUCCAUCGGCACCCCCGGUGCCCCCCUCUGUGUGCGCCAGUUUCGGUGGCUUUGGCCGGUGUGUGGGUGUGCGCUCCUUCGAUGGCUCCCGUACGUUGGCGGCGGCGGCGGCUACUUUGUUUCCGACGCGUUGCACUUCGCCAUGGACGCCACGAAGUGCGUGUCGAAGCAACGAAGCCACAACAAAAGAAUACGAAUCGCGAAGGCGCGGCGAUACUGCGUCGGGCAUUACACGAGACCCGCAAUCCUUGUGUGUGUGUAUGUGUAUGCGUGUGUGUGCGCACGCUCCCCAGCACAAGAAAGUGGCGCAGCAGCGAUCUAUGCACAGGAAGGGAGGGGGUGGCAGACAGACCGGCCAUGGCAAAG
Molecule: unclassified non-coding RNA, 2564 nt
Filed under: Leishmania donovani
Lineage: Eukaryota; Euglenozoa; Kinetoplastea; Trypanosomatida; Trypanosomatidae
Description: gene:LdHU3.13.0760(CDS-product:Metallopeptidase_f amily_M24_putative)
Source: RNAcentral